UGGGGAAUCUUGCGCAAUGGGCGAAAGCCUGACGCAGCGACGCCGCGUGAGUGAUGAAGGCCUUCGGGUUGUAAAGCUCUGUGGGGAGGGACGAAUAAGGGUUGGCGAAUACCCAGCUCGAUGACGGUACCUUCUUAGCAAGCACCGGCUAACUCUGUGCCAGCAGCCGCGGUAAGACAGAGGGUGCAAACGUUGUUCGGAAUUACUGGGCGUAAAGCGCGUGUAGGCGGCUUGGAAAGUCGGAUGUGAAAGCCCUGGGCUCAACCUAGGAAGUGCAUUCGAAACUUCCAAGCUGGAGUUCUGGAGAGGAAGGCGGAAUUCUCGGUGUAGAGGUGAAAUUCGUAGAUAUCGAGAGGAACACCGGUGGCGAAGGCGGCCUUCUGGACAGCAACUGACGCUGAGACGCGAAAGCGUGGGGAGCAAACAGG
This 428-nucleotide ribosomal RNA is filed under the name uncultured bacterium. Its description in RNAcentral is "bacterial SSU rRNA". It matches the Rfam family "Bacterial small subunit ribosomal RNA", at positions 355 to 776 of the family's 1533-position model. The record is from RNAcentral.